GACAUCAACUGCUUCAUAUUUUUCCCACGUAUUCAGCACUUCCCAUUUUGACACUGACUUGAUUUAUGCCACUUUAUACCAGACCCUACUACUAACAAAGACACACGUUACACUUUCUUUAGCAGUAAUUCUUGCCUUCUUCUGCAAAUGCAUAACGACCUUUCUGAUAUUUCGGUUAUCAAAUGAGGAAAGAGUAUAUUUUACAGUUAAAGGUUGCUUUUUUGAGCUACUAGUUGGUAAAAAUCAAGACAAGAAAACAACAAAAGGGGAAAAAAAAAAAAGGAGCGACCCUUUUCUCAGUUUGCUGAGACAAUGGAGGAAGCUUUGUUGGGAGGAGAAAGUAGUGGAACCCAUUCAAGUGCUUGGGGGAGAAUUCGAAAAGGGGGUUUUAGUAGGAGAUCAGAUGCAAUUGCUUAUGGAUCAACUUAUCAGAAAGCUGCUGCUUUGGUUGAUCUUGCUGAGGACGGCAUUGGACUACCUGAGGAAGUUCUUGAUGAAUCAAGCUUUGCAAAUGCUGCAAAAUAUUACUUCACAUUCAUUAAAUUUGAUUUCCUUUGGACCCUUAACUAUUUUGCUUUGAUUAUAUUAAACUUUCUUGAGAAACCAUUGUGGUGUUCCAAGUAUUCUGUACAUACUUGCAGUGACAGAGAGUACUUCUUCCUAGGACAACUACCAUUCUUAACUUCUACUGAGUCUCUUAUAUAUGAGGGUGUGACUCUCCUAAUUCUCGUUGUACAUAUCUUGUUCCCCCUAUCAUAUGAGGGGUUGGCUAUUUACUGGAAACGUCUGCUUAACCAACUGAAGGUCCUUUUGCUGCUCAUUAUGGUUGCUGAUAUCUUAGUCUAUGUUCUAUCUCUCUCUCCAGUGGCCUUCAACUCUCUUCCAUUCAGGAUUGCACCCUAUGUCAGGGUUGUGUUUUUCAUUCUAAGCAUUAGGGACUUGUGCAACAGCAUCGUUAUACUAGCUGGAAUGCUGGGCACGUAUCUCAAUGUCCUGGCUUUAUCGCUUUUAUUUCUGCUAUUCUCUAGCUGGAUAGCAUUUGUCAUCUUUGAAGACACCGAACAGGGGAACACUGUAUUUACCUCCUAUGGCAUGACACUCUACCAAAUGUUUGUUUUAUUUACCACAUCCAACAAUCCAGAUGUCUGGAUUCCUGCAUACAAGGCCUCCCGUUGGUAUUGCCUUUUUUUUGUUCUUUUUGUGCUUCUCGGUGUUUACUUCGUCACCAAUUUGAUCCUUGCCGUUGUUUACGAUAGCUUUAAAAAUGAGCUUGUAAAACAAGUGGCUGAAAAGGAUCGUUUGAGGAUAAGAACACUGAGCAAAGCUUUUACUCUGGCUGAUACCUAUAAUCUUGGAUUCCUUGACAAAGAUCAGUGCAUCCGACUGUUUGAAGAGCUGAACAAAUACAGAACAUUACCAAAGAUAUCCAAGGAAGAUUUCGAACUAAUAUUUGAUGAGUUGGAUGAUAGUCAUGACUUCAAGAUUAAUUUGAACGAAUUUGCUGAUCUUUGCAAUGCCAUAGCACUGAGAUUUCAAAAGGAGAAUUCAGAACCGAUCUUUGAAAAAUGUCCAUCAAUCUAUCAUUCGCCAGUUUCUGAGAGAUUGAAGAACUUUGUUCGAAGCCCUACAUUUGGAUAUAUCGUAGCAUUCAUUCUUGUCUUGAAUCUUGUUGCUGUCAUUAUUGAGACAACGCUUGAUAUAGAGGACAAUUCUGCUCAACAGGCUUGGCAGAAGGUUGAAUUCGUCUUUGGUUGGAUUUAUGUCCUGGAGAUGCUGUUGAAAAUUUAUGCUUAUGGUUUUGAAAACUAUUGGAGGGAUGGUCAAAAUCGCUUUGAUUUUAUUGUCACCUUGGUGAUAGUUGUUGGAGAAACGGCCACUUUUGUGGCUCCCAACAGGCUGACUUUUCUUUCAAAUGGGGAAUGGAUCCGCUAUCUUCUCAUUUUGAGAAUGCUAAGAUUGAUAAGGCUUCUGAUGAAUGUUCCACAAUAUCGAGCUUUUGUUGCCACCUUCUUGACCCUCAUACCAAGUCUGAUGCCAUACUUGGGAACCAUAUUUUGUGUCAUGUGCAUUUACUGCUCAAUUGGCGUACAGGUAUUUGGCGGGAUUGUGAAUGCUGGCAACCCCAAGUUGGAGAGCACUGAUCUUGCUGAUAACAACUUUCCUUCUCUGUAUUUUCUUGACAAGUUAGCUAUUUACUCUUUAACUUCAACGAUUACCCGAAUGGAAUGGUCACACUCUUCAAUUUACUGGUGAUGGGGAACUGGCAAGUGUGGAUGCAGAGCUACGUGGAUUUGACUGGAACUUCCUGGGCUUAUACUUACUUUGUCAGCUUCUACCUUAUCACUGUUUUGCUGCUUUUGAAUUUGGUUGUGGCUUUUGUCUUGGAGGCUUUCUUUGCGGAGAUGGAGCUUGAAACUUCAGAGAAAUGUGAAGACACAGAAACCCAGGAAGGAAGCCGGAAGGAACACCGACGUAAUAUUGGCAUGAAAUCACGAGGUCAGAGAGUUGAUAUGCUUCUCCACCAUAUGCUAAGUGCUGAGCUGGACAAGACACAACGUUCAACCGAACCAACCCCUUAAACCGUUCGAUCCUGGAUCUACUAAACAAUGGGGAGCACAAACAAUCACUUAUGAGGUGGCUACUCUCAUUCUAGGCCAACAGCUCGUGUUAGAGCUUAAGCCAUGUAAAGAAUUGAUGUUUGAGUUGCCUAUAGCAUGGUAGAGGAAAUGGGAUGAUGCCGUGCUGGUUUUUAUUCCUUCAGAUCAGUUCUUUGUUUUUGGCUCGCUCCUUUUGCUUUCGUUUUGUUCCCUCCUCUCUUUGCAUCUUGAUGUAAGGUCAUUGUCAUUCUCAUCUCUUCGUAAUAGCUUGUUCCACAGCUUUCUGCAAGUGCCUGUUUAAGAUUCCCUUGUGUUUGCCAUGGCCAUGCGCACAUUCUUUCCUUCAUCAAUAAAAAUUUGGUGUAUAAUGAA
Molecule: RNA transcript, 2969 nt
Organism: Coffea arabica (coffee)
Lineage: Eukaryota; Viridiplantae; Streptophyta; Magnoliopsida; Gentianales; Rubiaceae
Gene name: two pore calcium channel protein 1B-like
Source: RefSeq, a predicted model, not a curated record